RNAcentral lists this ribosomal RNA (253 nucleotides) under uncultured bacterium. Its description in RNAcentral is "partial 16S ribosomal RNA". It matches the Rfam family "Bacterial small subunit ribosomal RNA", at positions 524 to 776 of the family's 1533-position model. The record is from RNAcentral.
UACGUAGGGUGCAAGCGUUAAUCGGAAUUACUGGGCGUAAAGCGUGCGCAGGCGAUUGUGCAAGACAGAUGUGAAAUCCCCGGGCUCAACCUGGGAAUUGCAUUUGUGACUGCACGGCUAGAGUGUGUCAGAGGGGGGUAGAAUUCCACGUGUAGCAGUGAAAUGCGUAGAGAUGUGGAGGAAUACCGAUGGCGAAGGCAGCCCCCUGGGAUAACACUGACGCUCAUGCACGAAAGCGUGGGGAGCAAACAGG